ACCUGUUUGUUCUAACUCUCACUGCUGGAUUGGAAGGUUACCAUGUGAAUGUUGAUGGACAGCAUGUGACAUCAUUUCCAUACCGCACUGGAUUUGUUCUUGAGGAUGCUACUGGCUUAUCAUUGAAUGGGGACCUGGAUGUGCAAUCAGUGUUCGCGGGGACUCUGCCAACUACACAUCCUAGCUUUUCUCCACAGAAACAUCUAGAGUUGUUACCCAGUUGGCAGGCCCAUCCCCUUCCAGACGAACCAGUUGAGAUUUUCAUCGGUAUCCUGUCAGCAGGCAACCAUUUUGCUGAGCGUAUGUCUGC
Zea mays is the source of this 310-nucleotide long non-coding RNA. RefSeq lists it as uncharacterized. The record is from RefSeq and is a predicted model, not a curated record. The transcript is spliced from 2 exons. NCBI's taxonomy places the organism in Eukaryota, Viridiplantae, Streptophyta, Magnoliopsida, Poales, Poaceae.